CAGUCGCCGCGGUAAUACGUAGGGUGCAAGCGUUAAUCGGAAUUACUGGGCGUAAAGCGUGCGCAGGCGGUUAUAUAAGACAGAUGUGAAAUCCCCGGGCUCAACCUGGGAACUGCAUUUGUGACUGUAUAGCUAGAGUACGGCAGAGGGGGAUGGAAUUCCGCGUGUAGCAGUGAAAUGCGUAGAUAUGCGGAGGAACACCGAUGGCGAAGGCAAUCCCCUGGGCCUGUACUGACUCUCAUGCACGAAAGCGUGGGGAGCAAACAGGAUUAGAUACCCGUGUAGUCCCUGUCUCUUAUAC
Molecule: ribosomal RNA, 301 nt
Filed under: uncultured bacterium
Lineage: Bacteria
Description: partial 16S ribosomal RNA
Rfam family: Bacterial small subunit ribosomal RNA
Source: RNAcentral